AUUGAACGCUGGCGGCAGGCCUAACACAUGCAAGUCGAGCGGAUGAAGGGAGCUUGCUCCUGGAUUCAGCGGCGGACGGGUGAGUAAUGCCUAGGAAUCUGCCUGGUAGUGGGGGAUAACGUCCGGAAACGGGCGCUAAUACCGCAUACGUCCUGAGGGAGAAAGUGGGGGAUCUUCGGACCUCACGCUAUCAGAUGAGCCUAGGUCGGAUUAGCUAGUUGGUGGGGUAAAGGCCUACCAAGGCGACGAUCCGUAACUGGUCUGAGAGGAUGAUCAGUCACACUGGAGCUGAGACACGGUCCAGACUCCUACGGGAGGCAGCAGUGGGGAAUAUUGGACAAUGGGCGAAAGCCUGAUCCAGCGAUGCCGCGUGUGUGAAGAAGGUCUUCGGAUUGUAAAGCACUUUAAGUUGGGAGGAAGGGCAGUAAGUUAAUACCUUGCUGUUUUGACGUUACCAACAGAAUAAGCACCGGCUAACUUCGUG
This 484-nucleotide ribosomal RNA is filed under the name uncultured bacterium. RNAcentral's name for it is "partial 16S ribosomal RNA". It matches the Rfam family "Bacterial small subunit ribosomal RNA", at positions 30 to 507 of the family's 1533-position model. The record is from RNAcentral.